This 469-nucleotide long non-coding RNA is filed under the name Zonotrichia albicollis (white-throated sparrow). Its description in RNAcentral is "lncRNA (ENSZALG00000007409.1)". Lineage: Eukaryota; Metazoa; Chordata; Aves; Passeriformes; Passerellidae. The record is from RNAcentral.
CGCUCCGCUGGUUGCGCUUCCCCAUCCGUCAGGCUCCAGCUCUGGGAAUCAUGUCUUUUCCUUGAGUGGUGGUGGGGUUUGGGGGGCGUGUGGCACAUUCCUGGUGUUGGGGGCUGCAGGGGCUCGGCUCUCCCGGGCCCAGGAGACAGGUGAAGCCCUCAGUUUGUUGGGUAGCGAAGGCAGGUAGCUCAGGAAGGAGAGUUCACGCUUGUCUCAAGCAGCCACCUGCCGUCCUGGGGACCUGGAGCAGUGGCCCAGGAGGUUGUGCUCAAGUGACAUUGAGGAGAAACCAUGCAAUUAUCCAACUGUACUGACACCAUUAGGGAGCUUGAGCUGGAUCACAGGACUGGUCAAGCCCUUCAGUCCACUUGAAAACACUUUACAAUUUCUGGGAGCUGGACUGACAAACACACAGAGCUCAUUGCUGAACUACAGAAGUUGGACACAAGCUUUGAGGCCAUGUGGUUGA